GCCGAAAUAGCUCAAUUGGUAGAGCAACUCAUUCGUAAUGAGUAGGUCGAAGGUUCAACUCCUUUUUUCGGCACCA
This 76-nucleotide transfer RNA is filed under the name Bacilli bacterium. RNAcentral's name for it is "tRNA-Thr". It matches the Rfam family "tRNA". From Rfam's summary of the family: Transfer RNA (tRNA) molecules are approximately 80 nucleotides in length. Their secondary structure includes four short double-helical elements and three loops (D, anti-codon, and T loops). The record is from RNAcentral. Lineage: Bacteria; Bacillati; Bacillota; Bacilli.